This is a non-coding RNA of Macaca mulatta (Rhesus monkey), 2453 nucleotides long. Lineage: Eukaryota; Metazoa; Chordata; Mammalia; Primates; Cercopithecidae. The record is from RefSeq and is a predicted model, not a curated record.
GUUUCCUUGUUCAGAGCUAUUGGAGGUAGGAAGUUCAUCAGGGAAGCUGAUACUGGUCUGAGUAAAUAUAAAUGCUUGAGGUUGGCAGAGGAUGGGUUAGAGAUAUUUUCAGAAAUAGAAUUGCCUGAGCUUGGUGAGAAAACAGAUGUGACAAAAACAGAGUGGAGGGCAUGGAAAACUCCAGAUGAUUCUGUGUUUUCUAGUAGCAGUGACUAGUUGAAUGGCGACAUAUUACCUAAGAAUUGCAAAGAAGAGGAGUGUGACUGAAGGGAAAAACCGAGGAUUCUAGUUUGAAAAUACUGAGUGUGAGAUGUCCACUCCCACGGUGGAUGUGUCCGGCAGUUAGAAAUAUGAAUAUUCAGAUGGGAGAAAGAUCAGAGAUGAAGACCCAUACUGGGAAGAUGGUAGCUGGCCAUGGUCUGCCAGUCACCACCAGAAGACUGCCCUCUUCACAGGACUACCCAUCUCUCUACCCAAGAUCCUACUGAAUCUACCCUUUCUCUGACUGCCACCCUGUGAAGCUGAAUGAAGAGACGACAAUGGAGUCAAAGAAAGAAAGAGAUGAGAAACAGCUGGCACCAGCAUCUAGCUUGAGUCAAUAAGAAGGAUACGACAUCAGUUUGAAAAGAGCCCCUAUCAGAGCAACACGAAUUCUGAUAAAAUUGAAGCAAAGACUAAUAUUGAAUUUAUGAAGGUUGGGUGGCAGAAUGGUGAAGUCAUUAAUGCAUUACAAAACAUUUAUGAGGACAACACCCAAAGAAAUCAGCAGUUUACAGAUAGAUAACUCAUCUUAAGAAGAAACAAGAUGAUGUUCAAGAUGACGACCACAGCAGAGAUCAUCCACAUCAAUUUGCAAGGAAAAAAUUCAACUUGUUUGUGCCCUAACUGAAAAGGACAGAAGAUGAACAGCACACACAAUAACCAACAUCACAGACAUCUUAAUUUGUUCAGCAUACGUAAUUCUGACUGGAAAAUUAAAGGUCAUCAAAUGUUCCUUUUGAUGGGUGCCAAAACCAUUGCACCCAGAUCAGCUGCAGACAAGAGUAGAAAUUUCCAUGGAAACUAAGUAAGUGGGAUCAAAAUCCUGAAGCACUUCUCUGAAGAAUUGUAACAGUAGAUGAAACAUGGCUUUAUCAGUAUGAUCCUGCAGACAAAGCACAACCAAAGUAAUGGCUACCAAGAGGUGAAAGUGGUCCAGUCAAAGCAAAAGUGGACCAUUCAAGAGCAAAGGUCAUGGCAACAGUUUUUGGGAAUGCUCAAGGCAUUUUGCUUGCUGACUUUCUGAAGAGCCAGAGAGUAAUAAAAUCUGCUUAUUAUGAAAGUAUUUUGAGAGAGCCAAAGCAUUAGCAGAAAAAUAUCAGGGAAAUCUUCAACCAGAGAGUCUUUCUCCACCAGGACAAUGCUCCUGCUCACUCCUUUCAUACAACAAUGGCAAUUUUGCAAAAGUUUCAGUGAGAUUUGGCAUUCAUCUUACUGUCUUGAUUUGGCUCUUCCUGACUUCCUUUUAUCUUCUAAUUAAAAAAAAAUCUUUAAAGGGUAGCCAUUUUUCUUUAGUUAAUAAUGUAAAAAAGACUGCAACGACAUGGUUAAAUUCCCAGGACCCUCAGUUCUUUAGGGAUGGACUAACUAAAUGGCUGGUAUCAUGACUUACAAAAGUGUCUUGAACUUGAUGGAGCCCAUGUUGAGAAAUAAAGAUUAUGUUUUCCAUGUUAUCUUUUAACGUCAUUUUUUUCAUGAACUUUUAGAAGUCUCCUUGUAUUGUUUGUCACCAUAACAUAGAGAAGAUAUGAUCUUCUUUUUCUUUGUAUUAGUUUUCCUUGCAUAUCUGACCUUCAGUGUGCCUUCAGUACAGGUGAUUGCAGAAGAGAAGGUCAAAUUGGGUAGGGGCACCGAGAAUGCCUGAUCCACUGUUCACCUGGCCACCCCAUCACUUGAACACUAUCACUCUCCAAGAGCAAUUACCGCUCUACUUAGAACAAGUACCCUAAAUAUCAGAGGCCCAACUUCCCCCCAUGGGUACACUUCUGUAAAAAGAGCUACUGACUCUUCAGAAGAGAAGCUUGGCUCUCUGUCCCUUUGCAUUUCUUGAAACUUCCAGCUCACUCAGAACUGGAGCACACUGAACUACACAAAACAUACCAGAAUGUAAUGAGCCUUCUCUACCCCUAAUUUUCACAUCAGUAACAAGUCAUUUCUGUCUAGUAACCAAGUAAUUACUAGUAACCAAGUAGCUUCUCAUACUUUGCAGGCAUUAUUAGCAUGGAGCACAGUCAAUUCAAAACCUGUUUUUCCCACCAGUAGCAGUGAGACUUUGGGCUAGUCAUGUGACCUUGCCAAACCUUUAUUUGCUUGUUUACUUAUUUCAUGAAAUAGGAGUCAUCAUCCUAAUAACACCUACUUCUUUAAGAUUUUACUCUCAUUUAAUAAGCUCGCCCAAGUAAACUGCUUAUACA